GAUGAAGAACGCAGCGAAAUGCGAUAAGUAAUGUGAAUUGCAGAAUUCAGUGAAUCAUCGAAUCUUUGAACGCACAUUGCGCCCGCCAGUAUUCUGGCGGGCAUGCCUGUUCGAGCGUCAUUACAACCCUCAAGCCCCCGGGCUUGGUGUUGGGGAUCGGCGUGCCCUCGCGGCGCGCCGUCCCCUAAAUCUAGUGGCGGUCUCGCUGUAGCUUCCUCUGCGUAGUAGCAACACUCGCACUGGAUCGCAGCGCGGCCACGCCGUUAAACCCCCCACUUCUGAAAGUUUGACCUCGGAUCAGGUAGGAAUACCCGCUGAACUUAAGCAUAUCAAUAAGCGGAGGA
RNAcentral lists this unclassified non-coding RNA (344 nucleotides) under soil metagenome. RNAcentral's name for it is "partial contains 5.8S ribosomal RNA, internal transcribed spacer 2, and large subunit ribosomal RNA". The stretch from base 1 to 120 matches the Rfam family "5.8S ribosomal RNA", at positions 35 to 154 of the family's 154-position model. The record is from RNAcentral.